RNAcentral lists this long non-coding RNA (179 nucleotides) under Mustela putorius furo (domestic ferret). RNAcentral's name for it is "lncRNA (ENSMPUG00000024186.1)". Lineage: Eukaryota; Metazoa; Chordata; Mammalia; Carnivora; Mustelidae. The record is from RNAcentral.
CUGUUAGCAUUAUGGAAUAUUUAUUCUAAAUGUUUAGAAUAUUAAAAAGAGAGAGAGAGAGAAAAGAAAGCAUAGAAACGAAACCACUACCCAUAUUAAGAAUUAAGUACAACAAAUACAACAGAAGCCUCUUGGGGAGCAGUCCUCCGUUUCAUAAGUGAUUUAUAAAAGACAUAAUG